CAUGUCCCUGCUCCCCAAAUUAAUGCCCUUAUGAUCUCUUUUGCUUAGAUUUGUUGAGUUUAAAUGCAUUUUAUUUUUAGACAAACUACAUGACGUGCUUUUCUUAAAACAAUGCCUCCAUUCCAAAUAAAGCAUGGUCGAAAUAAAUGAAGAGCUCAAGAUGACAUCAUUCCCAUUUUCUUAAGUCCUGUUGUUGUGUGGAUGACAAGCUGCAGUCAGUUACGAUGACAGACCAUCUUCGCCUCCACUUCCACGCACAGCCAGUCUGAGAUCUCCCGGAUCUCGUGAACACACCUGAUCAUGGCUGACAAGGUCCCAGUAGAUAAUCAUGAUGGCGGCCGAUGGCAGCUAAAGGGAGACGACCAGUGGCGCUGCCUUCUAGGAGCCCGGAGCUUGGAGCUGCGCUCAUGGGGAGCGGGGGCGGGGCCUUGCUUAAAUUUCAAACAAAAAAAGGAUCAAACCAAAAAUAAAAGAAAAUAGAGGGAAAUGUAGACUAUCUUUGUGCAUUUUAAAUAUACAUAAAAUCUCCAACAUGGAUAAAGAUGUUAUUCGAUU
This 555-nucleotide long non-coding RNA is filed under the name Homo sapiens (human). RNAcentral describes it as "HSALNT0086202". Lineage: Eukaryota; Metazoa; Chordata; Mammalia; Primates; Hominidae. The record is from RNAcentral.